Molecule: ribosomal RNA, 407 nt
Filed under: uncultured bacterium
Lineage: Bacteria
Description: partial 16S ribosomal RNA
Rfam family: Bacterial small subunit ribosomal RNA
Source: RNAcentral
AUUGAACGCUGGAGGCAGGCCUAAAACAUGCAAGUCGAGCGGAGCGGCGGACGGGUGAGUAAUGCCUAGGAAUCUGACUGGUAGUGGGGGAUAACGUACGGAAACGGGCGCUAAUACCGCAUACUAUCAGAUGAGAAUAGGUCGGAUUAGCUAGAUGGUGGGGUAAAGGCCGACCAAGGCGACGAUCCGUAACUGGUCUGGGAAGAUGAUCAGUCACACUGGAACUUAGACACGGUCCAGACUCCUACGGGAGGCAGCAGUGGGGAAUAGUGGACAAGGGGCGAAAGCCUGAUCCAGCCAUGCCGCUUGUGUGAAGAAGGUCUUCGGAUUGUAAAGCACUUUAAGUUGGGAGGCGUUACCAACAGAAUAAGCACCGGCUAACUUCGUGCCAGCAGCCGCGGUAAUAC